GCUGAAGUUCGUCAGUCUGGAGCAGACAAUUUCUUUAGAGAUCAUUGUAUUUUCCUGAGUAGAACUGAUGUACUUGAAGCUUUAAUCAUGAUAGAACCCACCAUGAUAGAACUGAUGUACCUAAGCAGAUUUAUUAGAACCCACCAUACAUUUUAUUUCUAUAGAUUUAUUAGAACCCACCAUGAUAGAACUGACGUACCCGAGCAGACAAUGAGAGAGAUCUUGUCAUCUCUUCUCCUGGCACGAAGAACUUAAUCAUGGAGUGGAUUGAAGGUACACAAUUUCAGAUUUGUACCUGCAGAGGUGCGCUUAGUAACGAUAGUUCUUGGCUUCAUUUACCGGAACAUCGUUAGGUCCUUACAUGAUCCUUAUUUGAUCAAAUUUCUGGUUAGUACUUU
This 398-nucleotide long non-coding RNA is filed under the name Hordeum vulgare. Its description in RNAcentral is "long non-coding RNA (HVUL_LNC000077)". Lineage: Eukaryota; Viridiplantae; Streptophyta; Magnoliopsida; Poales; Poaceae. The record is from RNAcentral.